CCUACGGGUGGCAGCAGUAGGGAAUCUUCCACAAUGGGCGCAAGCCUGAUGGAGCAACACCGCGUGAGUGAAGAAGGGUUUCGGCUCGUAAAGCUCUGUUGUUGGAGAAGAACGUUCGUGAGAGUAACUGUUCACGCAUUGACGGUAUCCAACCAGAAAGUCACGGCUAACUACGUGCCAGCAGCCGCGGUAAUACGUAGGUGGCAAGCGUUAUCCGGAUUUAUUGGGCGUAAAGCGAGCGCAGGCGGUUGCUUAGGUCUGAUGUGAAAGCCUUCGGCUUAACCGAAGAAGUGCAUCGGAAACCGGGCAACUUGAGUGCAGGAGAGGACAGUGGAACUCCAUGUGUAGCGGUGGAAUGCGUAGAUAUAUGGAAGAACACCAGUGGCGAAGGCGGCUGUCUGGUCUGCAACUGACGCUGAGGCUCGAAAGCAUGGGUAGCGAACAGGAUUAGAUACCCUUGUAGUC
RNAcentral lists this ribosomal RNA (465 nucleotides) under uncultured bacterium. RNAcentral's name for it is "partial 16S ribosomal RNA". It matches the Rfam family "Bacterial small subunit ribosomal RNA", at positions 338 to 795 of the family's 1533-position model. The record is from RNAcentral.